GAAAUAUAGGCUAUAUCUAAACCGUGGGCCUUCAAAGCCCAAACUGUGAACCAUUCACUAUUCUGCUCUCUAAGAC
RNAcentral lists this transfer RNA (76 nucleotides) under Pholidoscelis maynardi (Great Inagua ameiva). RNAcentral's name for it is "partial tRNA-Trp". Lineage: Eukaryota; Metazoa; Chordata; Lepidosauria; Squamata; Teiidae. The record is from RNAcentral.